RNAcentral lists this ribosomal RNA (253 nucleotides) under uncultured bacterium. Its description in RNAcentral is "partial 16S ribosomal RNA". It matches the Rfam family "Bacterial small subunit ribosomal RNA", at positions 524 to 776 of the family's 1533-position model. The record is from RNAcentral.
UACGUAGGUGGCAAGCGUUGUCCGGAAUUAUUGGGCGUAAAGCGCGCGCAGGCGGCCUUUUAAGUCUGAUGUGAAAGCCCACGGCUCAACCGUGGAAGGUCAUUGGAAACUGAAAGGCUUAAGUACAGAAGAGGAAAGCGGAAUUCCACGUGUAGCGGUGAAAUGCGUAGAGAUGUGGAGGAACACCAGUGGCGAAGGCGGCUUUCUGAUCUGUAACUGACGCUGAGGCGCGAAAGCGUGGGGAGCAAACAGG